Molecule: long non-coding RNA, 752 nt
Filed under: Trifolium pratense (red clover)
Lineage: Eukaryota; Viridiplantae; Streptophyta; Magnoliopsida; Fabales; Fabaceae
Description: long non-coding RNA (TPRA_LNC008046)
Source: RNAcentral
UAUUUUGUUUUCGUUAGUUAUUUCAUGAAUAAACAUCAGUUUUUGACCUCUUCUCACUCUACAAGAUAUAACUGGAGCUACGAGUAUCGAAAAUCUAAGAUAAAGAGCUACAACUCUAAUGUUGAAGUCAAAAGCCAAUUUUGAAGUCUCCAUCGUGCCACGAUGAGAAGGAAGAUUAACUUUUAAGAAACAGAAAUACUUGCAGAACAAGGAAGGCCUAUCGUGCCACGAUGGUGCGUAACUUUUAAGUAGAAAAAGCUUAUAUAUAGAGCUCCAGUUCUUAUAUUUUAUUCAAUUCAGUUUCCAUGAAAAUUAUUGUAUUCUAUAGUAAUCCAUGACUUGCUAAACCACUAAGGUUGAUCUACUGUAAGAGAAUUUCUCCAAGACCUUGAGGUUAUUAUAUUAUUCAGUUUUGUUUAUUUCUUUUCAAUUAUAUUCUUGUUACUAGUUUGCUUAAUUCAAGUUUCAUAGAAUAUGAUUGUUAAUUUCGAUUGAUUUAUAUGUUAGGGUUGAUUGCAAUGUAAGUCCCAUAUUGCUAAUGAAAUUGAAUGUGAAUAUAUUCCAUAUGAAAAUUCAGUAGCUUACCGUGAGUUUUAAAAUCUGAACAUUAUAAAUUGUUCUAAAGGGAACCUCAGAUGCAACUAUAUCGGCCAUGAUCAAAUUGGAUAAGGUUGUAACCCUAACAUUACCCUGGUCUUGUUCUAUAUAGUAAAUGUAAGUUUUCAAAUUCUCCAAAAUAGGACACCCAUAUA